RNAcentral lists this ribosomal RNA (551 nucleotides) under uncultured bacterium. RNAcentral's name for it is "bacterial SSU rRNA". It matches the Rfam family "Bacterial small subunit ribosomal RNA", at positions 355 to 896 of the family's 1533-position model. The record is from RNAcentral.
UGGGGAAUUUUUCGCAAUGGGGGAAACCCUGACGAAGCAACGCCGCGUGGAGGAUGAAGGCCUUCGGGUCGUAAACUCCUGUCGACCGGGACGAAAGUAGUCCGGCCUAAUACGUCGGGCUAUCGACUGUACCGGUGGAGGAAGCCACGGCUAACUCUGUGCCAGCAGCCGCGGUAAUACAGAGGUGGCAAGCGUUGUUCGGAAUUACUGGGCGUAAAGGGCGCGUAGGCUGUCCGACAAGUCCCGCGUGAAAUCCCCCGGCUCAACUGGGGAAUGGCGCGGGAAACUGUCGGGCUUGAGUUCGGGAGAGGGAAGCGGAAUUCCGGGUGUAGCGGUGAAAUGCGCAGAUAUCCGGAGGAACACCGGUGGCGAAGGCGGCUUCCUGGACCGACACUGACGCUGAGGCGCGAAAGCUAGGGGAGCAAACGGGAUUAGAUACCCCGGUAGUCCUAGCUGUAAACGAUGAGUGCUGGGUGUAGGGGGUCAUGACCCCCCCUGUGCCGAAGCUAACGCAUUAAGCACUCCGCCUGGGGAGUACGGUCGCAAGGCUG